UACGAAGAGGGCUAGCGUUGCUCGGAAUGACUGGGCGUAAAGGGCGCGUAGGCGGUUUGGACAGUCAGAUGUGAAAUUCCUGGGCUCAACCUGGGGGCUGCAUUUGAUACGUUCGGACUAGAGUGGGGAAGAGGGUCGUGGAAUUCCCAGUGUAGAGGUGAAAUUCGUAGAUAUUGGGAAGAACACCGGUGGCGAAGGCGGCGACCUGGUCCUUGACUGACGCUGAGGCGCGAAAGCGUGGGGAGCAAACAGG
Molecule: ribosomal RNA, 253 nt
Filed under: uncultured bacterium
Lineage: Bacteria
Description: partial 16S ribosomal RNA
Rfam family: Bacterial small subunit ribosomal RNA
Source: RNAcentral